CCUACGGGUGGCAGCAGUGAGGAAUAUUGGUCAAUGGGCGCUAGCCUGAACCAGCCAAGUCGCGUGAGGGAAGACGGUCCUAUGGGUUGUAAACCUCUUUUGUCUGGGAGUAAAAUGCACCACGUAUGCUGCUUCGCGUGUACCCUAUGAAUAAGGAUCGGCUAACUCCGUGCCAGCAGCCGCGGUAAUACGGGGGAUUCGAGCGUUAUCCGGAUUUAUUGGGUUUAAAGGGAGCGUAGGCGGAAGAUAAAGUCAGUGGUAAAAUUUUGGGGCUCAACCCAUUAGAGCCGUUGAUACUGGUAUCCUUGAGUGAGGGAGAGGUAUGCGGAAUGCGUGGUGUAGCGGUGAAAUGCAUAGAUAUCACGAAGAACUCCGAUUGCGAAGGCAGCAUACCGGAGCUUAACUGACGCUGAUGCACGAAAGUGUGGGUAUCGAACAGGAUUAGAUACCCUUGUAGUC
Molecule: ribosomal RNA, 459 nt
Filed under: uncultured bacterium
Lineage: Bacteria
Description: partial 16S ribosomal RNA
Rfam family: Bacterial small subunit ribosomal RNA
Source: RNAcentral